AGCAGAGGUUGCUUAAGUGAAUGGGGAGAUGAUGAGAUCCUGGUAUUUGUCUGUGCAGGAUGCAGGAUUACAGGCUGGGCUGUUCUCUCAGGGAUUACAGUCUGCACUGUGUUAGAAGAAGCACGGGAAGCUUUGGAAGAAACUCACCAAUUGACUCCAUUCACAGACAGGAUCAAGGGGCAGGAGUGAUGAAUGGAUGAAUGUCUCAUUCACUUUCUAGAUGUCUGCAGAACAGCAAUCAGGUUGAGUCUCCCCUAAUCUCUUUGGCCAUAAAACAAUGAAAGAAGAUUAACCAAGGUUAAUGUAGCAGAAGAAUUACAUCCCAUGCCACCAUCACCACCAAAGAACUACUAGAUGUUGUCCAAUAAAUCCUGAAUAAGUAAAUUUGGCAAAUGAUGUAUAAAGGCUCUUCUUCCAUUCAAAAGCCUCUCAACCGAGGUUAACAAGAUUGUCGAUAUUGAACUUCUUGAUGGAAAAUAAAGAAAAUUGGCCUUCUGGGGGGCAUCAAGC
Molecule: long non-coding RNA, 510 nt
Organism: Bufo gargarizans (Asiatic toad)
Lineage: Eukaryota; Metazoa; Chordata; Amphibia; Anura; Bufonidae
Exons: 4
Source: RefSeq, a predicted model, not a curated record